AUACGUAGGGUGCAAGCGUUAAUCGGAAUUACUGGGCGUAAAGCGUGCGCAGGCGGUUUUGUAAGACAGAGGUGAAAUCCCCGGGCUCAACCUGGGAACUGCCUUUGUGACUGCAAGGCUAGAGUACGGCAGAGGGGGAUGGAAUUCCGCGGUUAGCCGUGAAAUGCGUAGAUAUGCGGAGGAACACCGAUGGCGAAGGCAAUCCCCUGGGCCUGCACUGACGCUCAUGCACGAAAGCGUGGGGAGCAAACAGGAUUAGAUACCCUGGUAGUCCACGCCCUAAACGAUGUCAACUGGUUGUUGGGGAUUUAUUUUCUCAGUAACGAAGCUAACGCGUGAAGUUGACCGCCUGGGGAGUACGGCCGCAAGGUUAAAACUCAAAUGAAUUGACGGGG
RNAcentral lists this ribosomal RNA (395 nucleotides) under uncultured bacterium. RNAcentral's name for it is "partial 16S ribosomal RNA". It matches the Rfam family "Bacterial small subunit ribosomal RNA", at positions 523 to 918 of the family's 1533-position model. The record is from RNAcentral.